RNAcentral lists this ribosomal RNA (415 nucleotides) under uncultured bacterium. Its description in RNAcentral is "bacterial SSU rRNA". It matches the Rfam family "Bacterial small subunit ribosomal RNA", at positions 355 to 767 of the family's 1533-position model. The record is from RNAcentral.
UGAGGAAUAUUGGGCAAUGCCCGCAAGGGUGACCCAGCAACGCCGCGUGGAGGAUGAAUGUCGUAAGAUUGUAAACUCCUGUUAGAGGGGAAGAAUAGUACCGGUUGGACCGGUAUAUGACUGUACCCUCAGAGAAAGCCCCGGCUAACUACGUGCCAGCAGCCGCGGUAAUACGUAGGGGGCAAGCGUUGUCCGGAUUUACUGGGUGUAAAGGGCGCGCAGGCGGGAUAAAAAGUCAGUGGUGAAAUCCUACAGCUUAACUGUAGAACUGCCUUUGAUACUUUUAUUCUUGAGUUCGGGAGAGAGAGACGGAAUUCCAGGUGUAGUGGUGAAAUACGUAGAUAUCAGAUAGAACACCCAUGCCGAAGGCAGUCACUUGGUCCAUUACUGACGCUAAAGCACGAAAGCGUGGGUA